Molecule: ribosomal RNA, 429 nt
Filed under: Gemmatimonadota bacterium
Lineage: Bacteria; Pseudomonadati; Gemmatimonadota
Description: Gemmatimonadetes bacterium partial 16S ribosomal RNA
Rfam family: Bacterial small subunit ribosomal RNA
Source: RNAcentral
UAGGGAAUCUUCGGCAAUGGACGAAAGUCUGACCGAGCAACGCCGCGCGAGUGAAGAAGGUUUUCGGAUCGUAAAACUCUGUUGUUAGAGAAGAACAAGGACGUUAGUAACUGAACGUCCCCUGACGGUAUCUAACCAGAAAGCCACGGCUAACUACGUGCCAGCAGCCGCGGUAAUACGUAGGUGGCAAGCGUUGUCCGGAUUUAUUGGGCGUAAAGCGAGCGCAGGCGGUUUCUUAAGUCUGAUGUGAAAGCCCCCGGCUCAACCGGGGAGGGUCAUUGGAAGCUGGGAGACUUGAGUGCAGAAGAGGAGAGUGGAAUUCCAUGUGUAGCGGUGAAAUGCGUAGAUAUAUGGAGGAACACCAGUGGCGAAGGCGGCUCUCUGGUCUGUAACUGACGCUGAGGCUCGAAAGCGUGGGGAGCAAACAGG